Small nuclear RNA from Ursus maritimus (polar bear), 107 nucleotides. Lineage: Eukaryota; Metazoa; Chordata; Mammalia; Carnivora; Ursidae. The record is from Ensembl.
GUGCUCUUUUCAGCAGCACAUAUACUAAAACUGGAAUGAUACAGAGAAGAUCAGCAUGACUCCUGCACAAGGAUCACAUGCAAAUUUGUGAAGUGUUCCAUAUUUUA